GGCCCAGGGCCCUGGUCCUGGUCCGGCUCUCCUGGGUCCUCCGCGGAGGCUCCGGCAACGUCGACGCGGCUGCAGAUGCUGACGCCACCUUCCUGGGACCUGCAGGACCGGUUUGAGGACGAGAGAGUGUGCUCCCACGGUAUUUUUAUCCUCUGCUGCCUCAGACUGAUGAAAACGGCCCUAGAAUACUGCAGCAGCCACCACACCAAGAAGAGCUUCCCCGGCACACCUGCCCCAGGAUCCCUGGGUGGCUCAGCGGUUUGGCGCCUGCCUUGGGCCCAUGGCCUGAUCUUGGAGUCCCGGGAUCAAGUCCUGCAUCAGGGUCCCGGUAUGGAGCCUGCUUCUCCCUCUGCUUGUGUCUCUGCCUCCCUCUCUCUCUCUC
Long non-coding RNA from Nyctereutes procyonoides (raccoon dog), 382 nucleotides. RefSeq lists it as uncharacterized. The transcript is spliced from 3 exons. NCBI's taxonomy places the organism in Eukaryota, Metazoa, Chordata, Mammalia, Carnivora, Canidae. The record is from RefSeq and is a predicted model, not a curated record.